GAAACAUCAACUGUGUAGAAACAGACAAAAUAAAGCUUAAUUUAAUCACCCAUGAAGAAUUAAAUAUACAAAAAGAUUGUGGAGACAUUCAUUUGCCAUGGAGUGGAAGGCUUUCAAAUCUGAACUCCAAAAUUUACCUAAGCUCAGUGCUCAUAUCAAUAUCCCUUAAAACACACGCACAAGACUUUAAUGGAUUCAAAGUAUUUCAACAAUCAACUUGGAACCACUUCUAGAAAGUGUUUGAAAUCACAGCAACAAAACCAAGUGGUCGAUUUGCUAGAAUGCAAAUGUUAUUUUUCAUAUGUUAGAAGAAGGAACCCUAAUACCCAACUCACCCACCUUCCUCCAAUUCAAGAAAUUAACAAUUUAAGGCCAUCCAAAAUGAAAUUUCAACAAUUAGUCCUAUUCUAAAUCAAAUUGAAGGUGAUAUCCACGAACCCAAACAGAAUAAUUCCUUGAAGCUUCAAUUCCACAAAAUUAAUCAAAA
Molecule: unclassified non-coding RNA, 487 nt
Filed under: Hevea brasiliensis (rubber tree)
Lineage: Eukaryota; Viridiplantae; Streptophyta; Magnoliopsida; Malpighiales; Euphorbiaceae
Source: RNAcentral